AUCGCUUCUCGGCCUUUUGGCUAAGAUCAAGUGUAGUAAUUUAGCAUUAUAUAACUUUAUGAAAUAAUGAGAAUCAAUCAACACUGUGCAUUCACAGAGUAACAUUGGAUUUAAAUGCAGUAUACUUCCUCUCCAUCCAAGAAACAUGCC
Molecule: small nuclear RNA, 150 nt
Gene: U2
Rfam family: U2 spliceosomal RNA
About the family: U2 is a small nuclear RNA (snRNA) component of the spliceosome (involved in pre-mRNA splicing). Complementary binding between U2 snRNA (in an area lying towards the 5' end but 3' to hairpin I) and the branchpoint sequence (BPS) of the intron results the bulging out of an unpaired adenosine, on the BPS, which initiates a nucleophilic attack at the intronic 5' splice site, thus starting the first of two transesterification reactions that mediate splicing.
Source: Ensembl